This is a long non-coding RNA of Portunus trituberculatus (swimming crab), 694 nucleotides long. RefSeq lists it as uncharacterized. The record is from RefSeq and is a predicted model, not a curated record. The transcript has 4 exons. Lineage: Eukaryota; Metazoa; Arthropoda; Malacostraca; Decapoda; Portunidae.
AUAUUCUACCACCAAGCGGAGCGGGAUCGCUUCUCAGAGAGAAGGAAAUUCCAAGGACCACGUACUGUAAACGGGUGACACACUGGGAAAUUUUGGGAGUUUACUUCAGAAUGCCAGUUUUCCGUAUUUGGUGUGCUGAUCGCAUCAUAAGGAAAUCGGUUGUGUCAGUAGCAGAAAUUGAAGAACUAAAGAAAAAAAGCAACACAAAAACUCGGUUUGGAGUUGGUAGGACCUACGAAGUUAGUUCUAGAGAAAUGUGGUACAGAAGUGGACGACGAUGAGGUGUUGGAAGAAAUUGCUGAUGAAGUCUUACUAUUGUUGGCUGAUGGAGAAACUUAUACACCAUCUGUAGCUCAGCAAAUACCUGACUCUACUCGAAGUUUGGUAACAUGUACUACAGGCGAUGUACUUCAACCCAGCAGGAGUGCAAGUGACAACGAAAAGGCAAGCACAAGUUCAAGUGAGACAGAGGCAUAUGCCAGUCACAAAUCAUGUAACACAUUAUCAUUGCCUCUGCCAGAACUCUCACGGGCAACCCGAGAUGACUUACAACAGGGAGAUAAAUCAAGACGGGUCUGGUUGCAGCUGAUAGAAGAAUCCAAGAACUACUACAUGAAGUAUUGCCCUCUGCUUGAUGAAAACCCUUAAGCUACGGUUACACUAGCCACUGCUACCCCUGGGCCCAGCCUUGGGC